CACGAACCGUACGAACGUUAUUCGGAAUUACUGGGCUUAAAGGGGUUGUAGGCGGCCAUGUAAGUCAGGGGUGAAAUCCCUCGGCUCAACCGAGGAACGGCGCUUGAUACUGCAUGGCUUGAGGGAGACAGGGGUAAGCGGAACUGAUGGUGGAGCGGUGAAAUGCGUUGAUAUCAUCAGGAACACCGGUGGCGAAAGCGGCUUACUGGGUCUCUUCUGACGCUGAGGAACGAAAGCUAGGGUAGCGAACGGG
This 253-nucleotide ribosomal RNA is filed under the name uncultured bacterium. Its description in RNAcentral is "partial 16S ribosomal RNA". It matches the Rfam family "Bacterial small subunit ribosomal RNA", at positions 524 to 776 of the family's 1533-position model. The record is from RNAcentral.